Molecule: non-coding RNA, 179 nt
Filed under: unclassified sequences
Description: raiA RNA
Rfam family: raiA RNA
Source: Rfam by way of RNAcentral
CUGUGAGUGGUUCUGUGGUUGAAAGUCGAUGCCAGUCGCGGGCGAAACGACCCACGUAAGGUUCCCUAAUCGGAACUGAGCAUGGCGCGGUUUAGAAGUAAGUCCUGACUCGGUGUGACCAAAGUGGUCAUGGCGAACUCAGGCAGGUGUGGGGUCAAAGACCAGGUCAGCACUCACAG